Molecule: non-coding RNA, 1119 nt
Filed under: Pelophylax chosenicus (Seoul frog)
Lineage: Eukaryota; Metazoa; Chordata; Amphibia; Anura; Ranidae
Description: partial small subunit ribosomal RNA
Rfam family: Bacterial small subunit ribosomal RNA (bases 8-949)
Source: RNAcentral
CAAUCUGAGAGGAUAAGGUUUGGUCCUAGCCUUACCAUCAACUGUUUCUCAAUUUACACAUGCAAGUCUCAGCACACCCGUGAGAACGCCCUUUCAACCUUAACCAGGCCAAGGAGCUGGCAUCAGGCUCAACCUUCUGCCCAUAACGCCUAGUCUCACCACACCCCCAAGGGUAUUCAGCAGUGAUAAAUCUUGCGUAUAAGCGAUAGCUUGACUCAGUUAGAGAAAAGAGGGCCGGCUAACCCGGUGCCAGCCGCCGCGGCUACACCGUGGGGCCCGAGCUGAUGGUCAUCGGCGUUAAGCGUGAUUAAAGUUCCCACCAAUUAGGGUUAAAUUAACACUUAGUAGUGAUAAGCUUGUUGUUAAGAAAACCGUAAACGAAAGUUACCCUAAUUACACUUGAAUACACGACAGCUAGGAAGACAAACUGGGAUUAGAUACCCCACUAUGCCUAGCCGUAAACAAUUAACUCACACCAACCAACGCCAGGGAAUUACGAGCUAUGCUUAAAACCCAAAGGACUUGACGGUGUCCCACCCACCUAGAGGAGCCUGUUCUAUAAUCGAUGAUCCCCGAUACACCUAACCAUUCCUCGCCCAUCAGUCUGUAUACCUCCGUCGAAAGCCUACCAUGUGAACGCUUACAGUAGGCCCAAUGAUCCUCAUCAACACGUCAGGUCAAGGUGCAGCUUACGGAAUGGAAAGCAAUGGGCUACAAUUUCUAGUUUAGAACAAACGAAAGACUCUGUGAAACCUUAGUCAUGAAGGCGGAUUUAGUAGUAAAAGGAAAAUAGAGUGUUCCUUUUAACCUGGCUCUGGGACGCGUACACACCGCCCGUCACCCUCUUCGAUAGCACUUCACCCAGGUAUUUAACCCAAUACCGCAUCUUAGAAGAGGCAAGUCGUAACACGGUAAGUGUACUGGAAAGUGCACUUGGUCUACAACAAGAUAUAGCUUAAUUUAAAGCCCUCCGCUUACACCGGAGAAAUGUCUGUUCAACUCGGACUAUUCUUGAGCCUAAAAUCUAGCCCUACUCCACCCGCAUGAACACCUUAACCCUAUGCCCUUCAAACAAAACAUUUUAACAUUUUAGUACAGCCGAUCCAAAAAAAUUACCGC